This is a non-coding RNA of Taeniopygia guttata (zebra finch), 1757 nucleotides long. NCBI's taxonomy places the organism in Eukaryota, Metazoa, Chordata, Aves, Passeriformes, Estrildidae. The record is from RefSeq and is a predicted model, not a curated record.
AGCAGGGUGGCCUGUUCCAGCAGGGACACUGCCAGCCCAGCCAGGGGCAUGGCUAGGGGCAGAGAGGGGACCUUCCUCCUCCAGCACCCAGCUGGUGACAGCUCUCAAACAGCGUGAGGACACCUCGGGCCCAGCUCUGCGCAGCCACGUCAACUCCUGUCAUUCCCAGCACAUUCCAGGGAAUGCUGCUGGCUCUGGUUCUCCUUAAUUGUGAUGGCUCAAAUCCCCUAAAAACUCACAGUUCCUGCUGGAAACAACUGAUGAGCUGCUCAGACUGUUAAUCCCUGUGGAGAAGUGUGAAGGUCUUUUUCAGGACAAAGUGGCAGGAAAAAGGCACAAACAAGCUGGGUGCAGGCACAGAAACAAACAUUCGCCAUCUGGGCGGCAUCAAAGCGACGGCCAGGAGGAGGAUCCCACACAUCCUCGGCUUCUCCUCCCCGAGCCUGUGCUGGAAGAGGAGUGGCAGAUUUUCCACAGAGUGACAGAUUUCUUCCCAUCUGCAUGAGGACCCCGUGUGCUUUUUCACUGGGAUCAGGGCUGCUGAUCUGCAAACCUGGCCCCAAAGGGCAAACCCCAGAUGACACCAGGGACCCAGGGCUGAACUGAUGCAGUGACAAACCAACACUGAAGAUUUAAUAAACGGGACCGUGAUGGGAUCGAAGCAAUCCCACGCAGACCUGGUGUCCUGGGAGAGAUGAGGACAUGGCAGCUGAGCCAUCCAGCGGUGGCAGCCGCCCUUUGUGCCCGCGCAGCUUUGGCUUUGGCUUUGGGGACCCCGCCACGCCGUGACCCGGAGCGAGUCCCAGCUCGUGUGCUCCCAGCAGAGACAGGGAUUUACACGCACAGAAUGACGGGAUGUUUAUGAUGCCAUAAGAAUCUAGGGGAAACACUAUGGAUUGGAGAAAGGUCAUCUGAGGUGAGUCCCACACAGCGCUGGCGAUGCCAUCUGGGCAGGGUGGAGGUGCCAACGAGCCCGUUUGCCUUCCCAAAUUCAGAAUAAUUCCAGAGUGGCUCCGCAGCCCUGCAGAAAGGCUCCGCUCCUGCAGGAGCUGGGAAGAGCUGGAGAGGGGAAUUUUCUGCUUUCUGCCGCUCCGUGCUGCUUCCCGGAGCUCUGCCCAGCACAUCUGAGCAGCAGGAGGGCACCAACACGGCUCUUCCCGCUGGGAACGAACCUUUUUUUGUACCUUUUUACCCCCAUUUUACACUUCAAACCUCGAGUUUUAACUCACCCACUGGGAGUCAGGCAGAGACUCUUCACCCCUUGCUUGAACAAGGCUCCCUCCCUGGGAAUGUGCCCCGUGGAAGGAAACAGGGAGGAAUUGCAAGGUUUUAAUAAAAGCAGUUAAUUUUCGCCGGGCUGGGACGUGGGAGAAUUCCCUUCUUUGAAAUGCUCAGCACAGGUACCAACCCUCCCGUUCCCAUGAGGUUCAUGGACUGAGGUCAGCCACAGCCAGACUUGCAGGAAUUUUGUGUGGGCAUGCAGACACUUGUUUUCCCAUUAAAAAAAAUUAAAAAAAUAGGAGGAAAAUACAAGUCUCAAAUUGAAGGUGCUGUGAGUUUCUGUGCAAAGACAUCUUUGAUUCCUGAUGUGUUUAGGAUAUUAUUAUUUAUUCCAGAGCAAGAUCUCAGCUGUUAAAGUCCUUACUCAUAUGAUUUUUGGUAUUUGUAUUCCCAAAGUAGUGAGAAUUCUAUAUAUGAGAGAGAAUCCCAACAUCAUGGGAAUAAAUGGAGUAUCCCAAAGAUGGGAGAAAUGGGAA